UUUUUAUGGAGAGUUUGAUCCUGGCUCAGGAUGAACGCUGGCGGCGUGCUUAACACAUGCAAGUCGAACGGUGAAGCCAAGCUUGCUUGGUGGAUCAGUGGCG
Molecule: ribosomal RNA, 103 nt
Filed under: Microbacterium sp. Leaf288
Lineage: Bacteria; Bacillati; Actinomycetota; Actinomycetes; Micrococcales; Microbacteriaceae
Description: partial 16S ribosomal RNA
Rfam family: Bacterial small subunit ribosomal RNA
Source: RNAcentral